GAACUGAAUGACAGCUGAUAAUAAGCAUUCUUCCAAGAUCCAACUGCUAUUCAUUCAGUUAGAAAAUGUCAAGACCAUCUGCAAUAACAUCACCAUGUGAUGACUCCCAAUGGUGUUACUGUGCCCUCCAAAUCAACAAGACUUGUGCCUGUGUAAAAAGAGAGUGAUUAUGUACUGAAUCCCAAAGGAAGUCUCACUGAGUGUGAUGUGGUUAGAAGUACUUGAAUAGCAUCUGAAGAGUGAUUGUUUGCAUUUCCUGGAAAGCGAAGAUUUUAUUGCCAAACUGAAUCAUACAGCAAUUGAAGGAGGAAGAGAACAUCAACAAGAGCCACUGUGUACAAGAUUAAAUUGGUAGCAGGUACAUUUAAAGGGACAUUGAUGUAAGGGCUUCAUGGAAUCAGUGGAACAGAUCUACAGGCACUCUGAAGCCGGAGGGAGGGGUCUUCAUUCCCCAGAUCUCUGUAGAUCUACCCAGAGCUGGGCCCAGCUAUUCUCUUUUGAGUGAGAGCAUCUGGCUCCUUUGAAGAAUACAAUCAGUACACAGACAGUGAUGGAGAUAAUUUCCACAAAGCAGAGGUGGAAAACCAUGCUCUGACAGAGAGAAGAAAA
Molecule: long non-coding RNA, 609 nt
Organism: Chrysemys picta bellii (western painted turtle)
Lineage: Eukaryota; Metazoa; Chordata; Testudines; Emydidae
Source: Ensembl